CCCUUAGAUGUUCUGGGCUGCACGCGCGCUACACUGAUGCACUCAACGAGUUUACGACCUUGCCCGAUAGGGUUGGGUAAUCUUUUUAAAAUUCAUCGUGAUGGGGAUAGAUUAUUGCAAUUAUUAAUCUUCAACGAGGAAUUCCUAGUAAGCGCGAGUCAUCAGCUCGUGCUGAUUACGUCCCUGCCCUUUGUACACACCGCCCGUCGCUCCUACCGAUUGAGUGCUCAGGUGAAUAAUUCGGACUGCAGCAAUGUUUGGAUCCCGAACGUUGCAGCGGAAAGUUUAGUGAACCUUAUCACUUAGAGGAAGGAGAAGUCGUAACA
Molecule: ribosomal RNA, 326 nt
Filed under: uncultured eukaryote
Lineage: Eukaryota
Description: partial 18S ribosomal RNA
Rfam family: Eukaryotic small subunit ribosomal RNA
Source: RNAcentral